This 401-nucleotide long non-coding RNA is filed under the name Mus pahari (shrew mouse). RNAcentral's name for it is "predicted gene 43475 (MGP_PahariEiJ_G0005352.1)". The record is from RNAcentral. Lineage: Eukaryota; Metazoa; Chordata; Mammalia; Rodentia; Muridae.
ACCCCUGGGCUGGUGGUCCUGAGUGGGAUGAGAAUGUGGCUGGGCAAGCCACAAGGAAUAAGCCAGUAAGCAGUGCUCCUCCGUGGCCUCAGCUUCAGCCCCUGCUUUGAGUUCCUGCCCUGACUGAUUUGUCUUGAGUCACAUCUCUCCUCCAACAUUAGUAUGUGUGAUACUCUGUGACUGGACUGAAGAUCUAUGGGGAAAUCAGAUUUGGCAUCAGAAGGCAUGCUGGCUUGAGAAAAUGGGCUGUGUCCAGAGUGAGCAGCCAGAGCUGAGGUACUGUAUGAAUUUAAGUCUGUUCCACUCUUUGCCAGGUGGAUCUGGAAAAAUACUGUUCUGCCAACUUCUCCAAGCAAGUCGGGUUUAGUUUUGAAAAGGGGGUUAUUUUGUGUAUUUUGUUG